This 435-nucleotide ribosomal RNA is filed under the name uncultured bacterium. RNAcentral describes it as "partial 16S ribosomal RNA". It matches the Rfam family "Bacterial small subunit ribosomal RNA", at positions 29 to 507 of the family's 1533-position model. The record is from RNAcentral.
AGCGAACGCUGGCGGCAUGCUUAUCACAUGCAAGUCGCACGGAUCUUUCGGGAUCAGUGGCGGACGGGUGAGAAACGCGUAGGGAUCUAUCCAUGGGUGGGGGACAACUCCGGGAAACAGGAGCUAAUACCGCAUGAUACCUGAGGGUCAAAGGCGCAAGUCGCCUGUGGAGGAACCUGCGUUCGAUUAGCUAGUUGGUGGGGUAACGGCUUACCAAGGCGAUGAUCGAUAGCUGGUUUGAGAGGAUGAUCAGCCACACUGGGACUGAGACACGGCCCAGACUCCUACGGGAGGCAGCAGUGGGGAAUAUUGGACAAUGGGCGAAAGCCUGAUCCAGCAAUGCCGCGUGUGUGAAGAAGGUCUUAGGAUUGUAAAGCACUUUCGACGGGGACGAUGAUGACGGUACCCGAAGAAUAAGCCCCGGCUAACUUCGUG